Long non-coding RNA from Musca domestica (house fly), 802 nucleotides. RefSeq lists it as uncharacterized. Lineage: Eukaryota; Metazoa; Arthropoda; Insecta; Diptera; Muscidae. The transcript has 3 exons. The record is from RefSeq and is a predicted model, not a curated record.
ACAGUGUUCAUUUACCAUUACUGGUUAUAGGUUACUAGCAACCAUAUAAAGUACUCUCUUUAUUGUUGUGAAUUUCUAUUUACAUAUGAUUACAUUAGUGUGUUUUUAAAAGAGUUGUAGGAAAACAGAAUUAAUUAAAAUAAGAAAAGCAAUUUCCGAAAAAGAAGUUGAAAUUACAAUUCAAUUUUACAUUUAUGGAUAAAAUUUAAGAGAUCAUUGAAGUGGUCUAUAUUCAUGGACAUAAGAACAUCAGGUUUCGCAUAGAUUGAAGUCGCAAAUUCCCACUCUGUGGAAGUAUUUUUUGGUAUAAGUAUGGCCGGUAAACAGUCUAUUGAUUGUUUUUAUGCUUUCAGGUUUCAUCUGCAAAUGUUUGUGCCAUGGUUGCUUGGGAGGAUUUGGGAAAAAUCGGUGGAAAGAAGUGCGUCAAUUUUUUGCGAUGCAUCAGUAACCGAAAAUUCGAAAGGUAUGAUACAUCCAGCUUCCGUUGCCUGCUUGGCAUAGUAGUCAGCCGUUUCAUUAAUUGAAAUUCCAACAUGGGAUGGAACCCAAACAAAAGUGACCUUAUUUAUGGAGGAACAGGCGAUCCUUUGGACAAUGUUGGCUGUGGUAUGAUUAUUGGAGGAACUGCAAUUCAAAAGUAAACAAGCAUUCUUGCUGUCGGUGAAUACAGCCGCUGUGCUGAUUCCAUCCUCGAUGAUUAUAUCGAUAGCUUUUUCUAUAGCAUAUAGUUCUCCCGAUAAGGAGGAAAGUUUUUCUUCAAUUUUGAAUAAAAAGUUCUGCUUGGCGGAAAUAUUACAAACAG